This 384-nucleotide ribosomal RNA is filed under the name uncultured eukaryote. RNAcentral's name for it is "SSU rRNA". It matches the Rfam family "Eukaryotic small subunit ribosomal RNA", at positions 587 to 972 of the family's 1831-position model. The record is from RNAcentral.
AGCUCCAAUAGCAUAUACUAAAGUUGUUGCAGUUAAAAAGCUCGUAGUUGAAGUUAAAGCUUUAUUUGGGUUAAAAAUCCAUUUGCCUUUUAACGGUUAAAUAGGAUUCCAGUAUUGCUUUUUUAAAGUUCAGUUUGUAUUGCCUUUGGUAGUAUUUAUUUGGACAUUUCACUGUGAGAAAAUUGUGGUGUUUAAAGCAGGCGUCUCUGUCUGAUCUUUUGCAGCAUGGUAUGAUGGAACAUGACAUUUUGCGCAAUUGGUUGCGAUUAAAGUGUAAUGAUUAAUAGGGAUGGAUGGGGGUGUUCAUAUUGGUGGGCGAGAGGUGAAAUUCGUUGACCCUAUCAAGAUGAACUUCUGCGAAAGCAUUCACCAAAUACUUCCCCA